Molecule: ribosomal RNA, 2511 nt
Filed under: human gut metagenome
Description: bacterial LSU rRNA
Rfam family: Bacterial large subunit ribosomal RNA
Source: RNAcentral
UUAAGCGACUAAGCGUACACGGUGGAUGCCCUGGCAGUCAGAGGCGAUGAAGGACGUGCUAAUCUGCGAAAAGCGUCGGUAAGGUGAUAUGAACCGUUAUAACCGGCGAUGUCCGAAUGGGGAAACCCAGUGCAAUUCGUUGCACUAUCGUUAACUGAAUACAUAGGUUAACGAGGCGAACCGGGGGAACUGAAACAUCUAAGUACCCCGAGGAAAAGAAAUCAACCGAGAUUCCCCCAGUAGCGGCGAGCGAACGGGGAGCAGCCCAGAGUCUGAAUCAGCUUGUGUGUUAGUGGAACGGUCUGGAAAGUCCGACGGUACAGGGUGAUAGUCCCGUACACCAAAAUGCACAGGCUGUGAACUCGAAGAGUAGGGCGGGACACGUGGUAUCCUGUCUGAAUAUGGGGGGACCAUCCUCCAAGGCUAAAUACUCCUGACUGACCGAUAGUGAACCAGUACCGUGAGGGAAAGGCGAAAAGAACCCCGGCGAGGGGAGUGAAAAAGAACCUGAAACCGUGUACGUACAAGCAGUGGGAGCACCUUCGGGUGUGACUGCGUACCUUUUGUAUAAUGGGUCAGCGACUUAUAUUCUGUAGCAAGGUUAACCGUAUAGGGGAGCCGCAGGGAAACCGAGUCUUAACUGGGCGUUAAGUUGCAGGGUAUAGACCCGAAACCCGGUGAUCUAGCCAUGGGCAGGUUGAAGGUUGGGUAACACUAACUGGAGGACCGAACCGACUAAUGUUGAAAAAUUAGCGGAUGACUUGUGGCUGGGGGUGAAAGGCCAAUCAAACCGGGAGAUAGCUGGUUCUCCCCGAAAGCUAUUUAGGUAGCGCCUCGUGAAUUCAUCUUCGGGGGUAGAGCACUGUUUCGGCUAGGGGGUCAUCCCGACUUACCAACCCGAUGCAAACUACGAAUACCGAAGAAUGUUAUCACGGGAGACACACGGCGGGUGCUAACGUCCGUCGUGAAGAGGGAAACAACCCAGACCGCCAGCUAAGGUCCCAAAGUCAUGGUUAAGUGGGAAACGAUGUGGGAAGGCACAGACAGCCAGGAUGUUGGCUUAGAAGCAGCCAUCAUUUAAAGAAAGCGUAAUAGCUCACUGGUCGAGUCGGCCUGCGCGGAAGAUGUAACGGGGCUAAACCAUGCACCGAAGCUGCGGCAGCGACACUAUGUGUUGUUGGGUAGGGGAGCGUUCUGUAAGCCUGCGAAGGUGUGCUGUGAGGCAUGCUGGAGGUAUCAGAAGUGCGAAUGCUGACAUAAGUAACGAUAAAGCGGGUGAAAAGCCCGCUCGCCGGAAGACCAAGGGUUCCUGUCCAACGUUAAUCGGGGCAGGGUGAGUCGACCCCUAAGGCGAGGCCGAAAGGCGUAGUCGAUGGGAAACAGGUUAAUAUUCCUGUACUUGGUGUUACUGCGAAGGGGGGACGGAGAAGGCUAUGUUAGCCGGGCGACGGUUGUCCCGGUUUAAGCAUGUAGGCUGGUUGUCCAGGCAAAUCCGGAUAAUCAAGGCUGAGGUGUGAUGACGAGGCACUACGGUGCUGAAGUAACAAAUGCCCUGCUUCCAGGAAAAGCCUCUAAGCAUCAGGUAACAUUAAAUCGUACCCCAAACCGACACAGGUGGUCAGGUAGAGAAUACCAAGGCGCUUGAGAGAACUCGGGUGAAGGAACUAGGCAAAAUGGUGCCGUAACUUCGGGAGAAGGCACGCUGGUGUGUAGGUGAAGUCCCUGCGGAUGGAGCUGAGACCAGUCGAAGAUACCAGCUGGCUGCAACUGUUUAUUAAAAACACAGCACUGUGCAAACACGAAAGUGGACGUAUACGGUGUGACGCCUGCCCGGUGCCGGAAGGUUAAUUGAUGGGGUUAUCCGUAAGGAGAAGCUCUUGAUCGAAGCCCCGGUAAACGGCGGCCGUAACUAUAACGGUCCUAAGGUAGCGAAAUUCCUUGUCGGGUAAGUUCCGACCUGCACGAAUGGCGUAAUGAUGGCCAGGCUGUCUCCACCCGAGACUCAGUGAAAUUGAACUCGCUGUGAAGAUGCAGUGUACCCGCGGCAAGACGGAAAGACCCCGUGAACCUUUACUAUAGCUUGACACUGAACAUUGAGCCUUGAUGUGUAGGAUAGGUGGGAGGCUUUGAAGCGUGGACGCCAGUCUGCGUGGAGCCAACCUUGAAAUACCACCCUUUAAUGUUUGAUGUUCUAACGUUGGCCCCUUACCGGGGUUGCGGACAGUGUCUGGUGGGUAGUUUGACUGGGGCGGUCUCCUCCCAAAGCGUAACGGAGGAGCACGAAGGUUAGCUAAUCCUGGUCGGACAUCAGGAGGUUAGUGCAAUGGCAUAAGCUAGCUUGACUGCGAGCGUGACGGCGCGAGCAGGUGCGAAAGCAGGUCAUAGUGAUCCGGUGGUUCUGAAUGGAAGGGCCAUCGCUCAACGGAUAAAAGGUACUCCGGGGAUAACAGGCUGAUACCGCCCAAGAGUUCAUAUCGACGGCGGUGUUUGGCACCUCGAUGUCGGCUCAUC